RNAcentral lists this ribosomal RNA (429 nucleotides) under Chloroflexota bacterium. RNAcentral's name for it is "Chloroflexi bacterium partial 16S ribosomal RNA". It matches the Rfam family "Bacterial small subunit ribosomal RNA", at positions 355 to 776 of the family's 1533-position model. Lineage: Bacteria; Bacillati; Chloroflexota. The record is from RNAcentral.
UAGGGAAUCUUCGGCAAUGGACGAAAGUCUGACCGAGCAACGCCGCGUGAGUGAAGCAGGUUUUCGGAUCGUAAAACUCUGUUGUUAGAGAAGAACAAGGACGUUAGUAACUGAACGUCCCCUGACGGUAUCUAACCAGAAAGCCACGGCUAACUCCGUGCCAGCAGCCGCGGUAAUACGUAGGUGGCAAGCGUUGUCCGGAUUUAUUGGGCGUAAAGCGAGCGCAGGCGGUUUCUUAAGUCUGAUGUGAAAGCCCCCGGCUCAACCGGGGAGGGUCAUUGGAAACUGGGAGACUUGAGUGCAGAAGAGGAGAGUGGAAUUCCAUGUGUAGCGGUGAAAUGCGUAGAUAUAUGGAGGAACACCAGUGUCGAAGGCGGCUCUCUGGUCUGUAACUGACGCUGAGGCUCGAAAGCGUGGGGAGCAAACAGG